AUUGAACGCUAGCGGGAUGCUUUACACAUGCAAGUCGAACGGCAGCGCGGACUUCGGUCUGGCGGCGAUUGGCGAACGGGUGAGUAAUGUAUCGGAACGUGCCCAGUAGCGGGGGAUAACUACGCGAAAGCGUAGCUAAUACCGCAUACGCCCUACGGGGGAAAGCAGGGGAUCGUAAGACCUUGCACUAUUGGAGCGGCCGAUAUCGGAUUAGCUAGUUGGUGAGGUAACGGCUCACCAAGGCGACGAUCCGUAGCUGGUUUGAGAGGACGACCAGCCACACUGUGACUGAGACACAGCCCAGACUCCUACGGGAGGCAGCAGUGGGGAAUUUUGGACAAUGGGGGCAACCCUGAUCCAGCCAUCCCGCGUGUGGGAUGAAGGCCUUAGGGUUGUAAAGCACUUUUGGCAGGAAAGAAACGUCGCGGGCUAAUACCCCGUGGAACUGACGGUACCUGCAGAAUAAGCACCGGCUAACUACGUG
Molecule: ribosomal RNA, 484 nt
Filed under: uncultured bacterium
Lineage: Bacteria
Description: partial 16S ribosomal RNA
Rfam family: Bacterial small subunit ribosomal RNA
Source: RNAcentral